Molecule: non-coding RNA, 29 nt
Filed under: Mus musculus (house mouse)
Lineage: Eukaryota; Metazoa; Chordata; Mammalia; Rodentia; Muridae
Source: RNAcentral
UAUCUAGAUUCAGGAUACACUGACCAGAU